GUUUCAUCCCACUUUUGGGUUGUUUGGCUUCCCAUACCUUUCCCCUCGCCUCCUCUCCUCUCCUCUCCUAUCGUCUCCUCUUCUCUCCUAUCGUCUCCUCUCCUCUCCUCUCCUAUCGUCUCCUCUUCUCUCCUAUCGUCUCCUCUCCUCUCCUCUCCUAUCGUCUCCUCUUCUCUCCUAUCGUCUCCUCUCCUCUCCUCUCCUAUCGUCUCCUCUUCUCUCCUAUCGUCUCCUCUCCUCUCCUCUCCUAUCGUCUCCUCUUCUCUCCUAUCGUCUCCUCUCCUCUCCUCUCCUAUCGUCUCCUCUCCUCUCGUCUCGUCUCCUCUCCUAUCGUCUCCCCUCCUAUAGUCUCCUCUCCUCUCCUCUCCUCUCGUCUCAUCUCCUCUCCUAUCGUCUCCUCUCCUCUCCUCUCCUAUCGUCUCCUCCCUUUCCUCACCUCUCGUAUCCUCUCGUCUUGUCUCGUCUCGUCUCCUCUCCUAUCGUCUCCUCUCCUAUAGUCUCCUCUCCUUUCCUCUCGCCUCCUCUCCUCUCCUCUCCUAUCGUCUCGUCUCGUCUCCUCUCCUCUCCUCUCCUCUCUUGUCUCGUCUCGUCUUGUGUCCUCUCCUAUGGUCUCCUCUCCUAUAGUCUCCUCUCCUCUCCUUUCCUCUCGCCACCUCUCCUAUCGUCUCCUCUCCUCUCGUCUCCUCUCCUAUCGUCUCCUCUCCUCUCCUCUCGUCUCGUCUCCUCUCCUAUCGUCUCCUCUCCUAUAGUCUCCUCUCCCCUCCUUUCCUCUCCUCUCCUAUCGUCUCCUCUCCUCUCCUUUCAUCUCGUCUCGUCUCCUCUCCUAUCAUCUCCUCUCGUCUUGUCUCAUCUCGUCUCCUCUCCUCUCCUCUCGUCUCGUCUCCUAUCGUCUCCUCUCCUAUAGUCUCCUCUCCUCUCCUAUCGUAUCCUCUCCUCUCAUCUCGUCUCGUCUCCUCUCCUAUUGUCUCCUCUCCUCUCCUUUCAUCUCGUCUCGUCUCCUCUCCUAUAGUCUCCUCUCCUCUCCUUUCCUCUCGCCUCCUCUCCUCUCCUCUCGUCUCGUCUCUUCUCCUAUCGUCUCCUCUCGUCUCGUCUCCUCUCCUCCCCUCUCCUUUUGUCUCCUCUCCUAUCGUCUCCUCUCGCCUCCUCUCCUCUCCUCUCGUCUCCUCUCCUCUCUCUCCUCUCUUCAUCACUGUCCAAACGUGACAGCUGAGCCGUGCUGUCAGCACCGGAGCUCUGACUGGAAGGGGCAGCGGUGGAUCAUGGCUCCCCGGGUGGAGUGCGCUCUGUCUGCUGUCU
This 1296-nucleotide long non-coding RNA is filed under the name Sinocyclocheilus grahami. RNAcentral describes it as "lncRNA (ENSSGRG00000001074.1)". Lineage: Eukaryota; Metazoa; Chordata; Actinopteri; Cypriniformes; Cyprinidae. The record is from RNAcentral.